UGAUGUUCUUCAUGACGGCGUCGUGGAUUCGGUGUGACUGACGGCGGUUUGUGGAUUCGGAUCGUGAGCUUCGUGGAUUUGGAGUGGAGGCGUUUCGUGGAUUCGGAACGUGGUGUUCGUGGAUUCGAACGUGAGGGCGUGGACAACCCGGAGGGUAGCGCGAAGAUUCAUAGGAGGUUAAGAGAGGUUGAGUUCGUGGAGUCGGUAAUCACCUUGUAAUAUUUUUUCUUAGUGAAUUAUUUUUUC
This 246-nucleotide long non-coding RNA is filed under the name Ananas comosus (pineapple). Its description in RNAcentral is "long non-coding RNA (ACOM_LNC002124)". Lineage: Eukaryota; Viridiplantae; Streptophyta; Magnoliopsida; Poales; Bromeliaceae. The record is from RNAcentral.